GUGGGCGUAGCUCAAUGGUAGAGCCCCGGAUUGUGGAUCCGGCUGUUGUGGGUUCGAGUCCCAUCGCUCACCCCA
This 75-nucleotide transfer RNA is filed under the name Gammaproteobacteria bacterium. Its description in RNAcentral is "tRNA-His". It matches the Rfam family "tRNA". From Rfam's summary of the family: Transfer RNA (tRNA) molecules are approximately 80 nucleotides in length. Their secondary structure includes four short double-helical elements and three loops (D, anti-codon, and T loops). Further hydrogen bonds mediate the characteristic L-shaped molecular structure. tRNAs have two regions of fundamental functional importance: the anti-codon, which is responsible for specific mRNA codon recognition, and the 3' end, to which the tRNAs corresponding amino acid is attached (by aminoacyl-tRNA synthetases). tRNAs cope with the degeneracy of the genetic code in two manners: having more than one tRNA (with a specific anti-codon) for a particular amino acid; and 'wobble' base-pairing, i.e. permitting non-standard base-pairing at the 3rd anti-codon position. Lineage: Bacteria; Pseudomonadati; Pseudomonadota; Gammaproteobacteria. The record is from RNAcentral. RNAcentral also lists the same sequence under 3 other names.